Molecule: long non-coding RNA, 1072 nt
Organism: Triticum aestivum (bread wheat)
Lineage: Eukaryota; Viridiplantae; Streptophyta; Magnoliopsida; Poales; Poaceae
Exons: 4
Source: RefSeq, a predicted model, not a curated record
UCCAGGGCUCGCCUUCGAUGCGUAUGGGUACGCCGCCGCCGCCGCCGCCCGCGGCCUCUCCGGCCAGCCGCCGCCGCCUCCGCGCGCCGCCUCUCCGGCCAUCCGCCGCCGCUGCCGCGCGCCGCCUCUCUGCCAUCCGCCUGUUCUCCUUUCCCUCCCCAUCCGUCCCAAUCUUCUCCGGCGCCACCUGAAGCCUCCUCAACCUCCAAUCUCAUGCUGUCAAGCCCUUCUAAUCUCGCCGGAACAUGGACUUAACUGGAACGCCGUCCUGCUAGCCGUGCCCACUUGAGCGAGGAGAGAGUGGUGAGGCGGCUUAGGUGAGGCUCAGGACGGCGUCUCGCAUAUUGGUCUCGAUGUAAUCCGUAUGGUUGAUCCCAGUACAAGCAGGACCCUAAGGAUUUAUCCCCUUUUUACACUGACGAAAUGGGAGGUUUUGGAUUCAACUGUAAUUGUGAUUUGUGCAAAAACUUUGGUAUACAUUGAAGCAAAGCUAACAAGGCUGAAGUCAAAUAGCUAUACCUCCAAUGCUUUGCUUGAUACUGUGACAGUAGUUAUAGUCCAGGUAUUAGAACACCACCAUUAUCUUUUCUUGUUACUUGUGAGGUUAAAAUAAUAUACAUAUGACUAUCAUAUCAGUAGUCUGCUACAACAAAAGAAUGAACAUAGCAAUCCUCAUUGAUGCAUUCAUGGUCACACACCACUUCCAUGAAAAAGACAUGCCACGGUUCUUUGGUAGAUGCCAUCAUACUGGUUUCAUCUUUCUGAAUCCACUAAAUAGAACAAAAAUUUAACAAACAAAUGAGUCUUGUCUCCUUGAAGACGUUGAAGUUCUGAAUUCUAACUGCGAAUUUGUCACUUGGCUGCAAUGUUUCUGUAGAAUCCAAGUAGUAUGUUUAAUGUUAGAAAAUGAAGAAUGUAAUUUGAAAUAUAAACACUGUAGUUUUUCUUAAACGAUGAUCCUUUCAAGUAGUAAUUGAAAUUUUGAAGAAGAAAUUGAAAGGUUGUAUUACCUAUUUGGUUAGGACUUCCUUGUAGACAAUAUUUUUCGUAUAUGUCCCGCUUGUGUUCUCAU